AAUUACACGCUUGAUUUUGCAGACAAAAUGAAUCUCCCAGCAGUGCCAGAGCGUCUCGAAGAGCAAAAGGUCUAACCUCUUCUGAUGUUAUCGCAGCAAGAUCAUAAGAUAGUAAAGAAAAAAAGAUCACAAAACAAAGAAACAAAAGCGAGAGAGAAGUUUAGCACAGAAUAUAUGAAGCAACAAGAUCUGUGACUGUAUAAAUGAAUGAAUGAAAUUCAAUAUCGGCAGAGGUAAAAGGCAAUUUCCCAGGCAACUUCUAAAUCAGCCUGCACCAGGAACAAGGUUUGGUAAAGGGCUGAUUGUCUCGUCACCCCAAGUUCUCGGCAUCAUCUCUUCCAAGGAAAUGGUGUUAUGAGUCACAAGUGCCCG
Molecule: long non-coding RNA, 372 nt
Organism: Struthio camelus australis
Lineage: Eukaryota; Metazoa; Chordata; Aves; Struthioniformes; Struthionidae
Source: RefSeq, a predicted model, not a curated record